AGCGAACGCUGGCGGCGUGCCUAACACAUGCAAGUCGAACGUGAAAUGGGGCAACCCAAAGUAAAGUGGCGUACGGGUGAGUAACACGUAGGUAAUCUACCCAAGUGUCUGGAAUAACCGGCCGAAAGGCUGGCUAAUACUGGAUAGAGCGACGGAAUCCGUAAAUGGGUUUUUCGGGAAAGGGAGCACUUCGGUGCCGUCGCAUUUGGAUGAGCCUGCGUCUCAUUAGCUAGUUGGUGGGGUAAUGGCCCACCAAGGCAUUGAGGAGUAGCUGGUCUGAGAGGAUGAUCAGCCACACUGGAACAGAAACACGGUCCAGACUCCUACGGGAGGCAGCAGUGGGGAAUUUUGGACAAUGGGCGCAAGCCUGAUCCAGCAAUGCCGCGUGCAGGAAGAAGGCCUUCGGGUUGUAAACUGCUUUUGUACGGAGCGAAAAGGCUCCCUCUAAUACAGGGGGCUCAUGACGGUACCGUAAGAAUAAGCACCGGCUAACUACGUGCCAGCAGCCGCGGUAA
RNAcentral lists this ribosomal RNA (515 nucleotides) under uncultured bacterium. RNAcentral's name for it is "partial 16S ribosomal RNA". It matches the Rfam family "Bacterial small subunit ribosomal RNA", at positions 29 to 523 of the family's 1533-position model. The record is from RNAcentral.